RNAcentral lists this ribosomal RNA (443 nucleotides) under uncultured bacterium. Its description in RNAcentral is "bacterial SSU rRNA". It matches the Rfam family "Bacterial small subunit ribosomal RNA", at positions 338 to 795 of the family's 1533-position model. The record is from RNAcentral.
CCUANGGGUGGCUGCAGUCGAGAAUCUUCCGCAAUGGACGAAAGUCUGACGGAGCGACGCCGCGUGGAGGAUGAAGUGCUUCGGCAUGUAAACUCCUUUUGCCAGGGACGAAAUUUUUGACGGUACCUGGAGAAUAAGAAGUUGCUAAACUCGUGCCAGCAGCAGCGGUAAUACGAGUGCUUCGAGCGUUAUCCGGAAUCAUUGGGCGUAAAGGGUGUGUAGGUGGUCUUGUUAGUCUCGCGUUAAAUCUCUCGGCUCAACCGAGAACCUGCGCGGGAAACGGCAAGACUAGAGGACGGGAGAGGUUUCUGGAACUCAUAGUGUAGCGGUGAAAUGCGUUGAUAUUAUGGGGAACACCAAAAGCGAAGGCAAGAAACUGGCCCGCUCCUGACACUGAAACACGAAAGCGUGGGUCGCGAAUGGGAUUAGAUACCCCUNUANUC